GUGGGGAAUAUUGGACAAUGGGCGCAAGCCUGAUCCAGCCAUGCCGCGUGUGUGAAGAAGGCCUUUUGGUUGUAAAGCACUUUAAGCGAGGAGGAGGCUCCUUUAGUUAAUACCUAAAGAGAGUGGACGUUACUCGCAGAAUAAGCACCGGCUAACUCUGUGCCAGCAGCCGCGGUAAUACAGAGGGUGCGAGCGUUAAUCGGAUUUACUGGGCGUAAAGCGUGCGUAGGCGGCUUUUUAAGUCGGAUGUGAAAUCCCUGAGCUUAACUUAGGAAUUGCAUUCGAUACUGGAAAGCUAGAGUAUGGGAGAGGAUGGUAGAAUUCCAGGUGUAGCGGUGAAAUGCGUAGAGAUCUGGAGGAAUACCGAUGGCGAAGGCAGCCAUCUGGCCUAAUACUGACGCUGAGGUACGAAAGCAUGGGGAGCAAACAGGAUUAGAUACCCCAGUAGUCC
This 451-nucleotide ribosomal RNA is filed under the name uncultured bacterium. Its description in RNAcentral is "bacterial SSU rRNA". It matches the Rfam family "Bacterial small subunit ribosomal RNA", at positions 354 to 796 of the family's 1533-position model. The record is from RNAcentral.